Molecule: ribosomal RNA, 429 nt
Filed under: uncultured archaeon
Lineage: Archaea
Description: bacterial SSU rRNA
Rfam family: Archaeal small subunit ribosomal RNA
Source: RNAcentral
UACCUGCAGCUCGAGUGGUAACCGCUUUUAUUGGGCCUAAAGCGUCCGUAGCCGGUUUGGUAAAUAUCUGGGUAAAUCGUGAGGCUUAACUUCACGAAUUUCGGAUAGACUGCCAGACUUGGGAUCGGGGGAGGUCAGAGGUACUCCAGGGGUAGCGGUGAAAUGUUGUAAUCCUUGGAGGACCACCGGUAGCGAAGGCGUCUGACUAGAACGAGUCCGACGGUGAGAGACGAAGCCCUGGGGCGCAAACCGGAUUAGAUACCCGGGUAGUCCAGGGUGUAAACAAUGUGGGCUUUGUAUUGGAGGUCUUACGUGGACGUCCAGUGCAGAAGAGAAGUUGUUAAGCCCACCGCCUGGGAAGUACGGUCGCGAGGCUGAAACUUAAAGGAAUUGGCGAGGGAGCACAGCAACGGGAGGAGCGUGCGGUUU